GAUGAACGCUAGCGGCAGGCCUAAUACAUGCAAGUCGGACGGGAUUCCGGAGCUUGCUUCUGAUGAGAGUGGCGCACGGGUGCGUAACACGUAUGUAACCUACCUUUAUCAGGGGGAUAGCCUCUCGAAAGAGAGAUUAAGCCCGCAUAAAAUCACAGCACAGCAUUGUGUAAUGAUCAAAUAUUUAUAGGAUAAAGAUUGGCAUGCGGAACAUUAGCUAGAUGGCGGGGUAACGUCCCACCAUGGCGACGAUGUUUAGGGGAUCUGAGAGGAUUGCCCCCCAGAAUGGAAAUGAGAAAAGGACAAGAAUGCGACGGGAGGGAGCAGAAAGGAAUAUAGGUCAAGGGGAGGAAGCAUGAAACAGCCAAGCCGAGUGCAGGAAGACGGCGAUACGGGUUGUAAACUGAUUUUAAAAGGGAAUAAACCAAGAUACGUGUAUCUGGCUGAAUGUACUGUAAGAAUAAGGAACGGCUAACUCCGUG
RNAcentral lists this ribosomal RNA (482 nucleotides) under uncultured bacterium. RNAcentral's name for it is "partial 16S ribosomal RNA". It matches the Rfam family "Bacterial small subunit ribosomal RNA", at positions 28 to 507 of the family's 1533-position model. The record is from RNAcentral.